ACACUGACGUCGCGACGCAUAUCAAUAAGCGGAGGAAAAGAAACUAACAAGGAUUCCCCUAGUAACGGCGAGUGAAGCGGGAAGAGCUCAAAUUUGAAAUCUUAAAGGGUUUCCCUUUACGAAUUGUAGUUUAAAGAAGUGUUUUCUGUUGGAGUUUCGGUAAAAGUUCUUUGGAAUAGGACAUCAUAGAGGGUGAGAAUCCCGUAUUUGACCGUUACUUUCCAGCUGUGUGAUACGCUUUCAAAGAGUCGGAUUGUUUGGGAAUGCAGUCCAAGAUGGGUGGUAAAUUUCAUCUAAAGCUAAAUAUUGGCGAGAGACCGAUAGCGAACAAGUACCGUGAGGGAAAGAUGAAAAGAACUUUGAAAAGAGAGUUAAACAGUACGUGAAAUUGUCAAAAGGGAAGCGUUUGACACCAGUGUUGUUUAGUUGAAAAUCAAUUCAAUAGUUUUUGAUUCUAAGUAGUAUUGACUUCAUCAGCUUGCUGCUUUCUUCUCAGAAAUUAUUGAAUGCACUUUUCAGUUAACAAGUCAACAUCAAUUUCUUUUGUUGUAAAAGGGUAAGAGGAAGGUGGCUUGCGCUUCGGCUCAAGUGUUUAUAGCCUUUUAUCUCUGCAAUCGGAGAGAUUGAGGUCUGCAGCGUAGAUCCUUCGGGGUUAGAUACAUUGGUGCUAAGCUAUAGCCUUGUAUAGACAACUUGUUGACUAUGCUCAGUCAUGUAGCUUACUCGCUGAUGCUAUUUUACCUACGCUUAGGAUGUUGACGCGCGUGUGUGCGUG
Molecule: ribosomal RNA, 775 nt
Filed under: uncultured Neocallimastigales
Lineage: Eukaryota; Fungi; Neocallimastigomycota; Neocallimastigomycetes; Neocallimastigales
Description: partial large subunit ribosomal RNA
Rfam family: Eukaryotic large subunit ribosomal RNA
Source: RNAcentral